GAUGAACGCUGGCGGCGUGCCUAAUACAUGCAAGUCGAGCGAACAGACGCGGCUCUUGCUCCGCUGACGUUAGCGGCGGACGUGUGAGUCACACGUGUAUACCCUCCCUAUCAUACUGGGAUCACUUCGGGAAUCCGGCUCUAAUACCGUAUAAUAUAUUGCACCGCAUGGGUCAAUAGUGAAAGUCGGUUUUGCUGUCACUUAUAGAUGGAUCCGCGCCGCAUUAGCUAGUUGGUAAGGUAACGGCUUACCAAGGCAACGAUGCGUAGCCGAGCUGAGAGGGUGAUCGGCCACACGGGAAGGGGGACGCGGUCCAGACUCCUGCGGGAGGCCGCAGUAGGGAAUCUGACGCAAUGGGCGAGAGUCUGACGGAGCAACGCCGCGUGAGUGAUGAAGGUCUUCGGAUCGUAAAGCUCUGUUAUUGGGGAAGAACAGAUGUGGAAGUAACUAUGGACGUCUUGACGGUACCUAGUCAGGAAGCCACGGCUAACUACGUG
RNAcentral lists this ribosomal RNA (497 nucleotides) under uncultured bacterium. RNAcentral describes it as "partial 16S ribosomal RNA". It matches the Rfam family "Bacterial small subunit ribosomal RNA", at positions 28 to 507 of the family's 1533-position model. The record is from RNAcentral.